This is a long non-coding RNA of Hermetia illucens (black soldier fly), 2448 nucleotides long. RefSeq lists it as uncharacterized. The transcript is spliced from 3 exons. Lineage: Eukaryota; Metazoa; Arthropoda; Insecta; Diptera; Stratiomyidae. The record is from RefSeq and is a predicted model, not a curated record.
GACAGAAAAAGGAUGGAGUAAUUCACCGUCAAGUAUAUAAAAUAGGUGAAGUAGACUUUCCACUUCAUUUUUAUGCAAUGCAAACACCCGUCCUCUGCCUCCGACAAGACUCUUUAUUUUCUUCGUAGUUAUGGUACUUGUUCUUGCUGCGAGGAGAGGAUGCCAAGUGGUGACUGCUCCAAUUGUUGAUGUCCGUACCUGGGGAGAUGAAUCGUGAAUGCUUUCUUUCGUCGUUUGGAUUUUCUUCUUCUCAGAAAACUUUGAGUGAGUAAUGGAAUGUGGAUGCAGAAUGCAAUUGAAAACUCAUAUCAGAAUGGAAUGAAUUUUCAGGCCCAGAUUUCGUGUGAUUUUUUUUCACAUUUUUCGGGUGGAGAGGUUCUGAAAACGAGAAUUUCGUGACGAUAGCUCCAGCCGUUUCCAAAUAAAUCUUAUGUAACAGACAGGCAGGCACACUUUGAACCGAUUUGGAUAAGAUUUUAUCUUACUCAUAACCUUAAAAUACAAUAUUUUAUGAAACAACUCGCCGACAAGCUUAUAGUUGGAUUACCAACAGAACCCCGCAGCAGUUGGAGAUGAUCUCCUCGAAAAAGCACCCAGCUGGAUACUGGAGAAGUUCGAAUUCACAGAAGCUUGUUUGAAGUGUUUCCGAUAUGUUUUGCAAUUCAAAAUAACUAAUAAAGGGGUGAACAGGGAAAGCAAGAAACCCAUACAGAAUACAACUGAUGACAUUACGCGAAUAAUAUUCGUUGCUAGUCAGAACGGUUUGCUUUGCGAAUAGAAGGAAAUAUGAGGAUCCAAUUUAGUCACAGUUCUAUUAGCUGCUAUGCAACGUGUAUUUUUAAUGAGAAACCGUUGCUGCUGGUCUGCGGCAAUGUGCACCAAAAGAUCCUUCAAUGCGACAUCGAUUAUGAGCUUAGCGCACCGUACCGCCAUUGCAUUGCCCCCCAAAUAUGAACUCAAUCGAAACUAAUGAACAUAAAGUCAAUAGUGCUCAAGAGGCACUUUACCUAAUUUUCAUUUCCAAUUUGAUUAAUGGCUGGAUUACCAUACCAAGUGGGUCUAAGGGAGGAUUGAUUUUAUCUUAAUGCAUGUCGUUUGUGCUUGGCCACUGCGGCUAGGGUGUGGUAUCGUUUUGCGGGCAUGUAACUUUACACUUUUGUGCUACGUGAAUGUGCAUGAAUUGAUUCCACUUAACGUGUCCUUUGCAGCUUUGCAGAAUCUCCAAUCUGAUUUGUGCAUAUAUGCUGAAUUCACUCGAUGUGAUUCGUUCUCGUUCUUUACAUGGUGCUCAUCCUUCUAGAUCUAUAAAUAGCCUGAAUGCACUCUAAUAAAAGAUGCAUUCACAGUGCUAGCGGAAGUGGAAAGAUAUAAUGCUGCUUAAAAUAGAAUAAUGGCGGAACGCGAUGAAGACGUGUAUUUUUGUUGAAGCCUUUCCGAGUGUUUGUAUCUACAACCUGCUGGUUAGAUGGGUGACAGAUAGUAGUUAGACAUGUGUAUACUAGCUUCACCAUUCAGUUUUCCUAUUGCAAUGGGAAAGCUGGCACUGUUCCAAAAGCUUUUACCAAUGAAUGUUGCUUAUAAUUAGAUUCAUUUAAGGAGGAAUUUGAAAGGAUUCCAGACACUUUGCAGAAAGAUUACCCUUGCUGAGCCCACAUUGGGCGCGAUAAUCUAAAACAAACUUCUCCUUCUUGCUAGCAUCAUAUCCUUACUAAAAGACUAUUUUUUCGGCUGCUAGUUAAUCUCUCAGGGCAUCCCUUUUCCAUUUUGGGCGCCUCCCUCUUCAAUGGGUUCCUACUAUGGCCUCAAGUAGUUUUUCUCGAGUGCGUUGUUUUUGUGCAUUUGAUGCAUGUGCAUCAGGUGAUUUACAUGGAGUUAAUGUCAAAUAAAUCUGUUUCUUCCUGUAUACGAGAACAUUUCACUUAGUUUCAUUUAAUCUAGGAGUAUUACGGAAAGAGUCAAUAUUCACAAGGUUGAUUUAUGGUUUACUUUAUUAGAUCGAUCUGUCUUUUCUGAAGUCGAACUGGUAACCUCCAAUAAUACUUUCUGUUAUCGAGUUCUUCGAUGGUAAGGCUAGCAUGCGCAAAUCCACGGUUUUGUAAUUAUUGAAUUCUUGUUUUGCAGUUCUCCUUCCUGUGGGUUAUAUAAGGCAUACUUUCCAUCCUUGGGGUCUUUUUCUUUGUCCCAUAUUUUACGCAUUGAUCUCUUUAACUAUUUUUUGGACCCGUCUCCUGGAUAGUUUAUAUCUGCUGACUUUCACUUUUCCAUUUUCAUUACAACCUUCCUAAUUUUUCCCAGGUUCACCUACCUAAACGACCUACAUUUUGGCUUUAUUUGAUUAUAUUUUAUAUUUUCCCCGCAAUUGUCCCAGAUGUGUCCAGUAAUUAAUUUCAGCCGACAUUACUUCAAUCUCUCCGUAAUUAUAUACACUGUACUGGACGAAAGUUAAUC